GGCGGUUUAGCUCAGGUGGUAGAGCAGCCGGUUCAUACCCGGUAUGUCCCUGGUUCGAGUCCAGGAACCGCCA
Molecule: transfer RNA, 73 nt
Filed under: Chloroflexota bacterium
Lineage: Bacteria; Bacillati; Chloroflexota
Also listed under: 2 other names
Description: Chloroflexi bacterium tRNA-Met
Rfam family: tRNA
About the family: Transfer RNA (tRNA) molecules are approximately 80 nucleotides in length. Their secondary structure includes four short double-helical elements and three loops (D, anti-codon, and T loops).
Source: RNAcentral